This 497-nucleotide ribosomal RNA is filed under the name uncultured bacterium. RNAcentral describes it as "partial 16S ribosomal RNA". It matches the Rfam family "Bacterial small subunit ribosomal RNA", at positions 28 to 507 of the family's 1533-position model. The record is from RNAcentral.
GAUGAACGCUGGCGGCGUGCCUAAUACAUGCAAGUCGAGCGAACAGACGAGGAUCUUGCUCCUCUGACGUUAGCGGCGGACGGGUGAGUAACACGUGGAUAACCUACCUAUAUGACUGGGAUAACUUCGGGAAACCGGCGCUAAUACCGGAUAAUAUAUUGAACCGCAUGGUUCAAUAGUGAAAGACGGUUUUGCUGUCACUUAUAGAUGGAUCCGCGCCGCAUGAGCUAGUUGGUAAGGUAACGGCUUACCAAGGCAACGAUGCGUAGCCGACCUGAGAGGGUGAUCGGCCACACUGGAACUGAGACACGGUCCAGACUCCUACGGGAGGCAGCAGUAGGGAAUCUUCCGCAAUGGGCGAAAGCCUGACGGAGCAACGCCGCGUGAGUGAUGAAGGUCUUCGGAUCGUAAAACUCUGUUAUUAGGGAAGAACAAAUGUGUAAGUAACUAUGCACGUCUUGACGGUACCUAAUCAGAAAGCCACGGCUAACUACGUG